This 45-nucleotide non-coding RNA is filed under the name Schistosoma bovis. Lineage: Eukaryota; Metazoa; Platyhelminthes; Trematoda; Strigeidida; Schistosomatidae. The record is from RNAcentral. RNAcentral also lists the same sequence under 1 other name.
AUCCAGCUGAAGAGUCCCAAAUAAGACGAAAUGUGCAUCCUAGAU